CUUGAUCGACCCCAGCCACAACGGCCGACCCGCCGGCCGGUCCUGCCCAUACGUCGCCAAAACCGCUUGCGCCUC
Mycobacterium scrofulaceum is the source of this 75-nucleotide non-coding RNA. The record is from Rfam. NCBI's taxonomy places the organism in Bacteria, Bacillati, Actinomycetota, Actinomycetes, Mycobacteriales, Mycobacteriaceae.